GACGAACGCUGGCGGCGUGCCUUAUACAUGCAAGUCGAACGAACUCGGACUUCGGUCCACAUGAGUGAGUGGCGAACGGGUGAGUAACACGUGAGAAACCUGCCCCAGAGACGGGAAUAACCAAGGGAAACUUUGGCUAAUACCCGAUACCUUCACAGCACCGCAUGGUGCAAUGAAGAAAUGCUCCGGUGCUCUGGGAGGGUCUCGCGGCCUAUCAGCUAGUUGGUGAGGUAACGGCUCACCAAGGCGUCGACGGGUAGCUGGUCUGAGAGGACGAUCAGCCACACUGGGACUGAGACACGGCCCAGACUCCUACGGGAGGCAGCAGUAGGGAAUCUUGCGCAAUGGGCGAAAGCCUGACGCAGCAACGCCGCGUGGAGGAUGAAGGCCUUAGGGUUGUAAACUCCUUUCGGUAGGGACGAAAAUGACGGUACCUACAGAAGAAGCCCCGGCCAACUACG
Molecule: ribosomal RNA, 461 nt
Filed under: uncultured Acidimicrobiales bacterium
Lineage: Bacteria; Bacillati; Actinomycetota; Acidimicrobiia; Acidimicrobiales
Description: bacterial SSU rRNA
Rfam family: Bacterial small subunit ribosomal RNA
Source: RNAcentral